UCCUUUUUGAACGGUCGUGUAACCACGAAUGAUUUUCAACAUUUAAAUCUGUAAAAAUUCACUAUUGUCUGGACAACAAAACUCUACCAUACUAAAUGCUCAGCAUAAUCGCAGCCACUUUUGAAUCCAAGUUCAUUAAACAUAAUCUACAACGAGAGCAUAGUUAUAGAUAUAUUUAGGCGAUUAUUGUGCUUAAUAUUUGCAACAGGUUCACUCCCGACCAUAAAAUUUCCUGCUAACUCUUGAAGGUCCCCCCAACUUUAGUUGUACAUUUCUGCGCUUUCUUUUUGUGCCAGUAUAUGAAGGACGUGUGGAACAGGGGUCAAAUAUUAUGUUUAAGUCGAAUCCAAUCUAAUGGACAUUCAAUACAUGCUCCCAACUUAAACUAAA
Long non-coding RNA from Drosophila yakuba, 390 nucleotides. RefSeq lists it as uncharacterized. The transcript is spliced from 2 exons. The record is from RefSeq and is a predicted model, not a curated record. Lineage: Eukaryota; Metazoa; Arthropoda; Insecta; Diptera; Drosophilidae.